Molecule: transfer RNA, 70 nt
Filed under: Fructilactobacillus sanfranciscensis
Lineage: Bacteria; Bacillati; Bacillota; Bacilli; Lactobacillales; Lactobacillaceae
Rfam family: tRNA
About the family: Transfer RNA (tRNA) molecules are approximately 80 nucleotides in length. Their secondary structure includes four short double-helical elements and three loops (D, anti-codon, and T loops).
Source: RNAcentral
AAGAUUAGCUCAGCUGGGAGAGCAUCUGCCUUACAAGCAGGAGGUCACAGGUUCGAUCCCUGUAUCUUCC